This 1293-nucleotide small RNA is filed under the name Pan troglodytes (chimpanzee). RNAcentral's name for it is "processed transcript". Lineage: Eukaryota; Metazoa; Chordata; Mammalia; Primates; Hominidae. The record is from RNAcentral.
UGUUAUGUCUCGGCUCCGGCCGCGGCCGCAGCUGAUCUACGGUUGUGGAGGGUUUUUUGAGGCCAUUGUGUGGUAUGAAACUGGCAUCUUUGCCACCCAGCUGGUGGAUCCGGUGGCGCUGAGCUUCAAGAAGCUGAAGACCAUUUUGGAGUGCCGGGGGUUGGGCUACUCAGGGUUGCCCGAGAAGAAGGAUGUCCGGGAGCUGGUGGAAAAGUCAGGUGACUUGAUGGAGGGUGAGCUCUAUUCUGCUCUCAAGGAAGAAGAAGCAUCCGAAUCGGUUUCUAGUACCAAUUUCAGUGGUGAAAUGCAUUUCUAUGAGCUUGUGGAAGACACAAAAGAUGGCAUCUGGCUGGUUCAGGUCAUAGCAAAUGACAGAAGUCCCUUGGUGGGCAAAAUUCACUGGGAGAAAAUGGUUAAAAAGGUGUCAAGAUUUGGAAUACGUACAGGCACAUUUAACUGUUCCAGUGAUCCCAGAUAUUGCAGGAGAAGAGGCUGGGUCCGAUCCACACUCAUUAUGUCUGUUCCACAAACAAGUACUUCAAAAGGGAAAGUCAUGCUUAAAGAAUACAGUGGACGCAAGAUUGAAGUAGAGCACAUUUUUAAAUGGAUAACUGCUCAUGCAGCUUCUCGGAUCAAAACCAUUUAUAAUGCUGAACACUUGAAAGAAGAAUGGAAUAAAAGUGAUCAGUAUUGGUUAAAAAUAUACCUAUUUGCAAACCUUGACCAGCCCCCAGCUUUCUUCUCUGCACUAAGUAUAAAGUUUACUGGAAGAGUUGAGUUUAUUUUUGUUAAUGUAGAAAAUUGGGACAACAAGAGUUAUAUGACAGAUAUUGGCAUAUAUAAUAUGCCAUCAUACAUACUUAGAACUCCUGAAGGAAUUUACAGAUAUGGAAACCACACAGGCGAAUUUAUAUCCCUUCAGGCCAUGGAUUCAUUUUUGCGCUCAUUACAACCCGAGGUAAAUGAUCUGUUUGUUUUGAGCUUGGUUCUAGUUAAUCUUAUGGCUUGGAUGGACUUAUUUAUUACACAAGGAGCUACCAUAAAGCGAUUUGUGGUUCUCAUAAGCACUUUAGGGACAUAUAAUUCUCUAUUAAUUAUUUCCUGGCUACCUGUGUUGGGCUUUUUACAGCUACCUUACUUAGAUAGCUUUUAUGAAUAUAGCUUAAAAUUGUUGAGAUAUUCCAAUACAACCACACUGGCUUCAUGGGUAAGGGCAGACUGGAUGUUUUACUCUUCACACCCAGCCCUGUUUCUCAGUACAUACCUUGGUCAUGGUUUACUAAUUGAUUACUU